GCUGUUGUGACUGCGGCUUCAUCCAAAGAGAAAAGAGACACUGAGCCAAACAGGGCGACACUCUCCUCACAAUAGUUGUGUUUUUGGUCAGUAAGCGGAUAUUUUGUGACAGCACGCAGCCGAGCCGAUGUUGGCCAUUGUUCUAAACAGGACGGUAUGUGAGCUGAGAGAGGAUGAGCUGAGUCCUGAUGAUCCAGAGGUUGAAUCAGCAGCAGCUUGUGUGUGGAGAGACUCUGACUGGACCAUGUUACUGGGAGGUGGAGUCAAGAGGAGAGCUUCAUCCACAUGUUUCUCCAUGUCAGACCAGUGGUGUAGUCUAUGUGAUACGCAGCGUUCACUUUUGGACCAUGGGGGCUUCCGUCAAGCGUGACGUGGACCCGACGUUAACUACUAAGGAAGCAGUGAAGUUGUGUGGCGGCAACGAGUCGACAACUUGAACUGGUCCAACGCUCGUCAGUGGAGAAGGAAUGUGGAGAAAAAACAAUGAGAAGAAAGAAAAGGAAGCCCAGUGACACUAUUUGAGAUGGUAGGGAAGGAGAGCUGAUGACGCUGUCGUCCUACCUGGUAAGUGGAACUCAUGUAUGUUAGAAUAAUAGUCACCACUAUUGGAACAGCAGCUGAUUGGCUCAUUGAAUUCUACCUAAAACUAGUCACUGGUGGUUUGGUUGAAAUCAAGGAGCUGCUGCUGCUCUGUGUGUGUGUUUGUGUAGAUGAGAAUUGGACCUGGCCAGCCUUGUGGAGUGAGAGUCAGGAGAGGGAAUUUAAAAACAGGCCUCCUUGGUUAGAGCGGAGAAACGGAAAGUUAGGGAAACAUUAGACGACAUUUAAAGCUGCUAUAAACAGAUUAAAUGUACAAAGUUAACGCUGUGUUCACAUGUUAAUGUAGUUCAUUCAGAAAGUUGUUAAUAAAAAUGAA
Molecule: long non-coding RNA, 916 nt
Organism: Mugil cephalus (flathead mullet)
Lineage: Eukaryota; Metazoa; Chordata; Actinopteri; Mugiliformes; Mugilidae
Exons: 3
Source: RefSeq, a predicted model, not a curated record